AGACUACGGGUUACACUGGCCGAGCCAGCACUCUGCUUUUCUUUCUACUCGGGUGGGGAUGGCAGUAGUCAGUCAUGGCAAACACACCCUCUAAACACCAUUACCCACACCAAGUGUCCCUGAAGUCUCAUCAAGGACUUAAGUUUCUGGCCUGACAUUUUUUUUUUUUUUUUUAAAGAAUCAGACCAGGAACUCAAACGUGGAUCUCUCCGAGCUGGUGCUGACUGGUUUAUACCAACUGCCAAGCCGCCCCCUUCCCUCACCGUCCGCCCUCCCGCGCGUGGGCAGAGGCGCUGCCGGCCCUCACUCCCGACCGCGCCAGGUCGCGAGGGCGAGCCCCGGAGCUCGCGGGGUGACAGGCCAGGGCAGCGAGGCCGCGGCUGUGCCCCGGGUCACUACUCUCCUCACCGAUGACGAUGCGCAGGUGCUUGAGGCGGGUCAGCGCGUCCUUCUUGGUGUCCAGCACCUUCUGGGUGGACUUCUUCACGUCCCCGUGCGGCUUCUUAGAGAACAUCCUGCGGCCGC
Molecule: long non-coding RNA, 525 nt
Filed under: Rattus norvegicus (Norway rat)
Lineage: Eukaryota; Metazoa; Chordata; Mammalia; Rodentia; Muridae
Description: long non-coding RNA NONRATT024291
Source: RNAcentral